GUCAUAUCGUCAAUGGAUAACUUUACAGACAAAGAUGAAUUGUAAACUCUUUAGAGCAAACUGGAAUCUGAAAUAUAAUUUUUGUGUUUCUAGUAAAGAAAAUAACACUUAUUAAUGAAUUUUAAUAAGACCCCUUUAUAUUCCCUUGUGCCUGACAUCAGCAUUUACUACCAUUCUUUCCUUCGCAUAAAUAAAACAAAUGUAUCUAGACUUACAAAUGAAC
Molecule: non-coding RNA, 223 nt
Organism: Pelobates cultripes (western spadefoot toad)
Lineage: Eukaryota; Metazoa; Chordata; Amphibia; Anura; Pelobatidae
Source: the annotation of a GenBank genome assembly